GACGAACGCUGGCGGCGUGCUUAACACAUGCAAGUCGAACGGAAAGGCCCUGCCUUUGUGGGGUGCUCUAGUUGCGAACGGGUGAGUAACACGUGAGUUACCUGCCCUUCACUUUGGGAUAACUUCAUGAAACUUGGGCUCAUACCGCCUAGGAGCUCCUGCUGCAUGGUGGGGGCUGGAUAGUUUCGGCGGUUGGUGAUGGACUCGCGGCUUAUCAGCUUGUUGCUGGGGUAGUGGCUUACCAAGGCUUUGACGGGUAGCCGGGCUGAGAGGGUGACCGGCCACAUUGGGACGGAGAUGCGACACAGACUCGUACGGGAGGCAGGAGAGGAGAAGAGUGCAUAAGGGGCGGAAGCCUGAUGCAGCAAAGCAGCGUGCGGGAUGAGGGGCAUCGGGUAGUAAACCGCUUUCGCCUGUGACGGAACGUGAGUGACGGUAAUGGGUAAAGAAGCUCCGGCUAACUCCGUG
Molecule: ribosomal RNA, 468 nt
Filed under: uncultured bacterium
Lineage: Bacteria
Description: partial 16S ribosomal RNA
Rfam family: Bacterial small subunit ribosomal RNA
Source: RNAcentral